UACGAAGGGGGCUAGCGUUGUUCGGAAUCACUGGCGUAAAGCGCACGUAGGCGGAUUGUUAAGUCGGGGGUGAAAUCCUGAGGCUCAACCUCAGAACUGCCUUCGAUACUGGCAAUCUCGAGUCCGGAAGAGGUUGGUGGAACAGCUAGUGUAGAGGUGAAAUUCGUAGAUAUUAGCUAGAACACCAGUGGCGAAGGCGGCCAACUGGUCCGGUACUGACGCUGAGGUGCGAAAGCGUGGGGAGCAACAGGG
This 252-nucleotide ribosomal RNA is filed under the name uncultured bacterium. Its description in RNAcentral is "partial 16S ribosomal RNA". It matches the Rfam family "Bacterial small subunit ribosomal RNA", at positions 524 to 776 of the family's 1533-position model. The record is from RNAcentral.